Molecule: transfer RNA, 72 nt
Filed under: Schizosaccharomyces japonicus
Lineage: Eukaryota; Fungi; Ascomycota; Schizosaccharomycetes; Schizosaccharomycetales; Schizosaccharomycetaceae
Description: tRNA-Ile
Rfam family: tRNA
About the family: Transfer RNA (tRNA) molecules are approximately 80 nucleotides in length. Their secondary structure includes four short double-helical elements and three loops (D, anti-codon, and T loops).
Source: RNAcentral
GGGAUUAUAGCUUAAUGGUUAAAGCUGAUUGCUCAUAACUAUCCAAUCUUGGUUCAAUUCCAAGUAAUCCUA